Physeter macrocephalus (sperm whale) is the source of this 546-nucleotide long non-coding RNA. RefSeq lists it as uncharacterized. The transcript is spliced from 2 exons. The record is from RefSeq and is a predicted model, not a curated record. Lineage: Eukaryota; Metazoa; Chordata; Mammalia; Artiodactyla; Physeteridae.
AAAUGGAUACAGUCCUUACACUCAUGGAGCUUACAUGGCACUCAAAAACAUGAGAAUAAAUGUAAAAUUUCAACGUUAUAAGAGCUGCAGAGAAGAGCAAAUAUAGGAAAGCCUAUAAUAGGGGAUUUGAUCCAACGGGAUGAACAGAAGCCUUCCCCAGAGAAGUUCCUUGGCGAGAGGAAUUGUUCACUGGUGCAUGCCCGGCUCGCACAGGCAAGACUCCUUACAUGAACAGAUGAACAACCCCAUUAAAACAAAUAGUAACGUGGAUGUCAUAACAGAAAGAUUUUCUUCCCAAAGUACAAAUUCUUCCACUAAUCUCAUGUAAUAUAUUGUUGGGUAUACAACCACACAGAAAACAACAGCUAUUUCAAAUGAGUUGGUUUAAUUCCAGGUGGUACAGAAUUCAGGACAGAACAAGGACUUAAGAACACACUUUGGCAGGAUUCUGGGCUGGGUUUAUGCAGAUCUCACAGCUAAGGUAGAAAUGGCUGAGAAGAACUAAAGACAAGAUGAGCCACUGUAUGAUUUUUUUUUUUUUUUUUU